GAUACAGGGUAUCAGUCACACUGGCUGGAAAAAAGGAAGUGAAUGGGUCCAUCGGGAUUGCUUUAUAUGGAAGCAAUGGAAACUCAAAGCAAUAUGAAAUUUUCAAAGGAUCCCUCAAACCACGUACAAAAUAUGUGCGUGACAUUGAUGUGGACAUCAACGUUGGAAAAAUCCAGAAGGUUACGUUCCUCUGGAAAAAACGUUGGCUAAAUAUCUUCCGGUACAAACUGGGGGCUUCGAAAAUCACAGUGCAAGAUGGAGAAUAUGGGACUAAGUAUCAAUUUUGCAGUGGCGACACCGUGAAAGAACACCAGUUGCAGUCCCUUCUCCCUUGUUAAAAAUGUGGUGCUCAUGCCCUAAUUGGUUUGGCUCAGUGGAUAGAGUGUCGGCCUGCAGACUGAAACGUCCCAAGUUUGAUU
Long non-coding RNA from Myotis davidii, 419 nucleotides. RefSeq lists it as uncharacterized. Lineage: Eukaryota; Metazoa; Chordata; Mammalia; Chiroptera; Vespertilionidae. The transcript is spliced from 3 exons. The record is from RefSeq and is a predicted model, not a curated record.